AAGUCGAACGGUAACAGGCCUUCGGGUGCUGACGAGUGGCGAACGGGUGAGUAAAGCAUCGGAACGUACCCAGAGGUGGGGGAUAACGCAGCGAAAGCUGUGCUAAUACCGCAUGUGAUCUGAGGAUGAAAGCGGGGGACCUUCGGGCCUCGCGCCUUUGGAGCGGCCGAUGUCGGAUUAGCUAGUUGGUGGGGUAAAGGCCUACCAAGGCGACGAUCCGUAGCUGGUCUGAGAGGACGACCAGCCACACUGGGACUGAGACACGGCCCAGACUCC
This 276-nucleotide ribosomal RNA is filed under the name unidentified marine bacterioplankton. RNAcentral describes it as "partial 16S ribosomal RNA". It matches the Rfam family "Bacterial small subunit ribosomal RNA", at positions 59 to 339 of the family's 1533-position model. The record is from RNAcentral.